GUGAACCUUUACUAUAGCUUGACACUGAACAUUGAGCCUUGAUGUGUAGGAUAGGUGGGAGGCUUUGAAGUGUGGACGCCAGUCUGCAUGGAGCCGACCUUGAAAUACCACCCUUUAAUGUUUGAUGUUCUAACGUUGGCCCCUGAUCGGGGUUGCGGACAGUGUCUGGUGGGUAGUUUGACUGGGGCGGUCUCCUCCUAAAGAGUAACGGAGGAGCACGAAGGUUGGCUAAUCCUGGUCGGACAUCAGGAGGUUAGUGCAAUGGCAUAAGCCAGCUUGACUGCGAGCGUGACGGCGCGAGCAGGUGCGAAAGCAGGUCAUAGUGAUCCGGUGGUUCUGAAUGGAAGGGCCAUCGCUCAACGGAUAAAAGGUACUCCGGGGAUAACAGGCUGAUACCGCCCAAGAGUUCAUAUCGACGGCGGUGUUUGGCACCUCGAUGUCGGCUCAUCACAUCCUGGGGCUGAAGUAGGUCCCAAGGGUAUGGCUGUUCGCCAUUUAAAGUGGUACGCGAGCUGGGUUUAGAACGUCGUGAGACAGUUCGGUCCCUAUCUGCCGUGGGCGCUGGAGAACUGAGGGGGGCUGCUCCUAGUACGAGAGGACCGGAGUGGACGCAUCACUGGUGUUCGGGUUGUCAUGCCAAUGGCACUGCCCGGUAGCUAAAUGCGGAAGAGAUAAGUGCUGAAAGCAUCUAAGCACGAAACUUGCCCCGAGAUGAGUUCUCCCUGACCCUUUAAGGGUCCUGAAGGAACGUUGAAGACGACGACGUUGAUAGGCCGGGUGUGUAAGCGCAGCGAUGCGUUGAGCUAACCGGUACUAAUGAACCGUGAGGCUUAACCUUACAACGCCGAAG
RNAcentral lists this ribosomal RNA (850 nucleotides) under Escherichia coli. RNAcentral describes it as "partial 23S ribosomal RNA". It matches the Rfam family "Bacterial large subunit ribosomal RNA", at positions 2093 to 2925 of the family's 2925-position model. The record is from RNAcentral. Lineage: Bacteria; Pseudomonadati; Pseudomonadota; Gammaproteobacteria; Enterobacterales; Enterobacteriaceae.